CUUAAUCUGAUUAGACAUGGAGUCUAGUUUGGUUAUUGAACUAAAAAACUGCUUGAGUAGAUAUUUGUAUAUUUUGUCGGACUAACCCCUGCAGGAAAACUUUCAAUAUCAACCUGGGAAGUCCUGAGAUAAACUCACAUCGGAGAUGAAGAUAGAGACACAUCAAGUUUCACAAUUUACACAAGGAAGACAUAGCUCAUAAGAGAUGAUCCAUGGAGGGUGCCACGAUGCACAACCGCUAAGAAAGGAAAGCUUCCACAAGGUGAGACUGUACCAUCACUCUUCAAUUAAUGUAACACCUUAAGGUACUUGACUAUCACUUUUGUAAGCUUCUCAUUGGUUCUGGCGUUCAUAUGAAUAGAAGAGACACACAUGUAUGAUUUAUAACUCCAAAUUAACCAACCCCACUGAUUCAGCAUGUUUAGUCCCUUAAUCUUUGAUCCCCACACUCCUAGUCAUAUGAGCUAAAAUGUUGCACAUUUAAUCUUUGGGAAGGUAUAAAGAAAAAGACAUAUACAUAGAUAGAUUAUCUUUCCAUAAGUUUGAGCGAUCUGAUCUGACAAAUGUUAUAAGUGCUACACUCAUCAUUCAUCAACUUUGUCUUGCUCACUAUGCUUAAGGUUAGAGAAGAACAAAUACACUUUUGGUUCUUUUGGUGUUUUCCACCAACAGGACCCAUGCACUUGAUCUCUGCCUUGCCUCUAUAAGCAGGUACACUUGGAACAAAACAUGGUGGAGUUUUACAACUCCCAGAUUCCACCAAGUGAAGGACUUGGAUCUACAAGCACAAACACACUGAGCAAAAUACUGCCAACACCGCACUUCGAACUACUGGGCAAACAAAGAACAUGGGUGACACCGUAUUAAGAGGUGCAGACGUCAAGGUCCAUACCUAAAUCAAAUGACGCACCUGAAGAAUAAACACGGUGAGAAGUCUUGUUCAGAAGACUUAAAACAUUGAAUCCUCGCCGAAAGGUAAAAUCGGUAGUUACCCAUAUUUAUCCUUUCUACAUUCCCUUUUCCCUUUAAUUACUUACUUUCCUUAAAUAGCUUAUUAGUUAAUCAUGCUAUCUUGAAAAGAAAAUAAAAAUGUUAAAAAUACUAAGCCCCAUGUGAGUAUGCUCGUGGCAUGAAACCCAUAAGUACAUUCACUGUGGUGGCAUAAAAAUAAAAUAAAUAUAUUGUUGUCCUAUAGAAAUGAAAAUAUAAAAAUUUAUGAUCCUACCAAAGAGAGUAAUAUUUAUUAGAGGAAUCUCAACAUGAUAAAGGCAAAGAGAUUUUAUGCUAACACUUAACCAGUUCCACAAAGCUUUGUUGUCUAUUUGAGCUCCACAGAAUUCAAGGAUCAAAGAAGACUAGUAGACGGAGGACAUUCUAAUCGCUGUCAGGGUGCUACCGACAUUCAAAUACACCUCCGCCACCUUCUAGCUACAUCGAAAGAAAUUACGUCAAAAUCCAGCUUCGGGGAGAGCACCCCCAUUUAUCCAGCUAAGUAUUUCUAUCUACAUUUAUAAUUAUACUUUGUUAAAAUAAUAAAAAGAUGCAUAAUCAUAAAAAACCCAAAUAAAGAUUUUAUGCUUAUAUAUAUAUAUUUUCUUAGUUUGCUAAAUAAAUAAAUAAAUAAAUAAAGUUUGCUAUGAACCCUCAUGAUAAGCUCUCAUAUGGAAAUGAUGAAUAGUUACUCUGCCGUGACUAGUUCUCAAAAGUGAAAUCUCUCUCAAGUUUAGGUAUAACUGUUAUGAAUUAAGAUUUUCUCUAAAACCUGAACUUGUGGGAAGAGUACUUGAUCUAAAGUCUAAGUCGUUAACGGAUACGAUAUGGGAUGGUUGGGCUGCUAUUUAUCUGUUCCUAGAGAUGCUAGAAUUCUAGAGAAUUUUAUCGUUGAAAAUCUUUAAAAUGUUGCAUGAUGAGUUCCUGUAUGAUGAGAGUUUAAAAUCCCACCACAGCCAUAUAUACAUGCUUAUUAGACUAUGAACCAUAUAUUUACUUUUUACUGCUUAUGAGCAUUGAGUGUGGUCAAGCUGUGUAGACCCUUAGGAGCUUGUCAUGUGGUUAAAUCAAGAUUCACUUGCACGUUCACUCAUAUAUGCUACUUCUACUCCGGAAGUACCAUCCACAUAUAUCCAUCCAUUUUCAUCUCCAGAAUCACCUAAAAAUAUUCUACUCCUAAUUCGGGAGAGAAUAGCCAAAAACAUCUGUGUUUUUCCCUUGUGAAAUAAAUGCUCAAGUUAUCUUGCUACUACCACUUGCUAUAUUAUCUCAAGAGAUGAGUGCUCUGAAAAAAAAGAAAAAAAGAAAAAAAAUAAAAAAAAAUAAUAAACGAGGAAAUAAAAAGGGGCAAGUGCCCGGAACCUCGAAAGAAAAGAAAAAGAGUGAGACGAGAGGUAAAAAUGGACAAGUGUCCGACAGUAGAAUUAGGGGUACAGGAUACCCAUCUGAGAGAAAAUAAAAAGAAGAGCAUCUCAUUCUCCUCAUAAAGUUUCAAAAAGCAAGGAAGGUAUGUAUCUCCUCAAAAGAGCAAAAGUAGAAUUAGACUUUCACCAUUGUUAUCACCAUCAUCACCAUACACUAUUCAUUCGCCACACAUGCACAUCUUGAUUUGGCUUAUUGAUUUGUUUCUUUGGAUCCAUGGUUUGACUAUACAAUAAAUGUCUUGUAAGUAUGUAUAUUUUAUCUCCCACCUAUGAGCUCCAGAUAUUAAAGCCUUAUUAGAGUAGGGUGAGAGAGAAGACAAUGUCACUAUCCCUUAUACCACAAAUACCACAUAUUUUGAGAGAAGGCAUAUACCAUCACUGCCUUGGUAAGGAUCCAGAAAUACCACAAAAGAGAGAUAUGAGAGAGUCAUACAAAGGAAUCUCUGAGUUUUAUUUGAAAAUCUACAAAAACUCCAGAGCUAUAGCUGAUCAAGAAUAAGCGACAUGGCACUUGACUGGACUGUUCUAUCUUUUAACCACUCAAGACAGAAGUGACGGUUACAAGUCCCAUGGUGAAAGGUAAAGUAAGUAAGUUUUAAGUCUUGACAGUUUACUCUAACUCAGAGAUGAGACCUCAUUUAAAAGCAUGUGUACCGUCAAUUUUUAAAGAUAUUGCAACAACUUAUGAUCCAUAGCUGAGUCUAUCCUUGCUCAGGGACGAGCAAGAGGUAAGCUUGGGGGAGUUUGUUGACGGUCCUUAAGUACCACAUUUAACUAUCAAAUAAACAAAGAAAAAGAUCCAAAUGAAAUCAACAUCGAGACUUAUGGUUUUAUCUGACAGAAUUCCACGAGUUUUGGUAUUUGUCUAUUUCUGCAGGGGGUUAUCAGGAAAUAAGGAAAAAAGGCCCACACGUCGGGAUUACAUAGAGAUAUCAACGUGCCGCGCAAUUAUCUUACAUCUAGAAGACUCCAGAAGCCACGGGAAGGAAGCGGAGAUCGAACGGAGUCAGGGACAGGGCGCCCGCCCAAGUCCUUAGGGCGCCCGCCCACCUUUUUCGGCCAAUCAUGCUCAAUCUCGCGGAUUAUGCUCCACCGACCUAAAGGAUCAAGAAUAACCGUUCAAUCAAUGUCGGUUUGAUCCGACGGCCCAGGUUCACUUGAGGGGACUAUAUAACCAGACCCCCUGGCCCCUGGAGGAGGCACCCCUUGAUCAUUAUUUAUUAUUCAUAGACAGAGCAAAAGCUAGGGUUUAGAGAUGACAGCUCUCCUCUCUUCUCUAAACUAGAGUAGAUCUAGAUAGUAGCAACAUGGAGAGCGAAGUAGGAUUAGAGGAGAGGCCGGCCUGUCAGUUCUUCCUCCGGUUGUACUUCAUCAUGAUCAAGCUCUAAUCAAGCUUGCUCAUGGGAUGACUCUGGUAAUCUACUUCUAAUUCAUUAUGCAAUUACUAAUCAUGUAUGUUCUGGUUCACAACUCUUUUGAGUACUUCUAAUCUAUAGGACCCUAUAGGUUAGAGUUGUAGUAUAGGUGUAAGCGUGGUGCUUAGACCUAGAUUACUUGUGGAUAUCCCCUGU
This 3985-nucleotide long non-coding RNA is filed under the name Sorghum bicolor (sorghum). RNAcentral's name for it is "long non-coding RNA (SBIC_LNC011667)". Lineage: Eukaryota; Viridiplantae; Streptophyta; Magnoliopsida; Poales; Poaceae. The record is from RNAcentral.